Non-coding RNA from Rattus norvegicus (Norway rat), 376 nucleotides. NCBI's taxonomy places the organism in Eukaryota, Metazoa, Chordata, Mammalia, Rodentia, Muridae. The record is from RefSeq and is a predicted model, not a curated record.
GAAAAGUACCAAGGGACUGCAGUAAAACCAUUCAAGGAGAUUAAUGCCAGUAGAAACUGUCUUUGAAGUACAUCUGAGUUGGAAGAAUUAGGACUUGGCACCUUGUGGUCUCCUUGACUGUUGGGCUAAAGUAAACAUGAACUUCAAAGAUGGAACCGAGCAGAUGACUGGCCUUGAAGAGUUUUUCCUAGAAGUAAUAGUAGGAAGUAUUUAUGGGAAAAGUCAAGUGUUCUUCAAACAAAGGGCCUUGUGCACCAAUCCCAGUGUCCUGCUGCAUUCACACUCUGAUGCUUAUUUCAAGCCCACCUUGAAGGUUUUCUUCCCACAUGAAACUUCAAUAACUAAAGAAUAUAUACCAGCUUUUUCCUAGGAGGUA